Long non-coding RNA from Zingiber officinale, 1403 nucleotides. RefSeq lists it as uncharacterized. The record is from RefSeq and is a predicted model, not a curated record. The transcript has 3 exons. NCBI's taxonomy places the organism in Eukaryota, Viridiplantae, Streptophyta, Magnoliopsida, Zingiberales, Zingiberaceae.
CCUUCCUUCUCUAAGCCCCUCACGCGGUCGAUUCCCAUCGCGCCGAACCACCGCCGACUUCAUCUCCCGAUCCCUCACCUCGUGACGCCGUCGGCCUUAUUCUCUCGAGCCACAGCUGCCUAUCCUCUCUUCCUCACACGUGAGCACCACAGUCGCGGCUCCCUCUCCCUCUCGUAAUUUUCCUCACCAAAAUCGCCGACCCUUUUUCCGCUCACAAGCACCGUAGCAACCGACGAUCUCUCCCACGGAUGAGCACCCCCGGAUGCCGCCUACCCCACCUCCUCAUGACAGCAUCAGAGACGCUGCACCACCGCAGGUUGCAAAGGGGCCAGCGACCAACGCGACGCCUUUCCGCCACUUGCUGCCUGCCCUAAUACCGUGUCCCCUGGCGAAUUCCUCCUUCGUCGGCCACUAGGGUUCGUUAAGGUGGGUUCCAGCCUGAGAGGAAGUUGUGGACACAAACUUUGCCUUGCUUGGACCACAGUAGCUUCGCCAGUAGCUAGUCUGGAUGGGUGCCCCGCUGUCCACAGUGCGUUGCAGCAGUAGGGAGAAGAAGCCAGAGGUUUGAUUUGGGUAACAAACCUAUUUUGUUAAACCUAAUUCAGUGAUGAUUAGUUCUUCGAUUUAAUAGGCGAUUAGUGGUUUUGGUGAUCGUUAAGGGGUUAAUCGAUCAUGAGGUAUUGUGAUCUAAGACGUGCUGUGUGUUAGAUUAGCAAAGGUUUGAUUUCUUGUUCAAUUUUAGGAUAUGUGAUUAGCUAUUUGAACAAUUAUUGUAGGUCUGGCCAUUAAUUCCAGUAGUGAUUUUCUUCAGUAUUGGAUUAGCACCUUAGGCAUCAGACUUGGGUGAGUUUUUAGAAUGUGUUCAUGCUUAGCCUAACCCUAUAUGAUGAUGAAAGGGUUAGUGUUAUUUGGAUCCAAUGUAGUGGUGAUAUGAUUUUGGGUUAAUUAUCAGAUUGGUUGUGGAAGAAAUUGUGGGAUAAUUAGGUUGGAUUUAUUAGGGUUUGGCUUGUGUUAACCAAUCUAUGUUAGAUCUAAGUGUUGAAUGUGUACUUAUUCUAGGAUUCUGAUUCGAGAUAAGAGCUCUGACUGGAGGACAUUUAGCAUGAUCUACGUAUAAAGGUAGCAGGUAGAUGAGUCAGGGAUGCUUGGAGAGAUGCCGGCUGCCAGUUCUGGGUCCUGCGUUAUAUCGGUUUUAUUUUCGCUUUAUUCAUAUUUUUUGGUAGGUAGCGGUUUUAGUAUUAUAUGAAUUGGUAUGUGUUUGGAGUUUGAUUCGUGGUGUUUUUCUUUCGUGAUCUUGUGGUUGUGUAAGCCUAAUUUGCUAGUAAACUUUAGUUGUGGAUUAUGGGUUUUCUCUUCGUUUUUCUGCUGUAUUUUUGAUACAACCGUAUGGGCUGAAUAUAACU